AGGAUUCGGGAGAAGCUGUUUUCAGACAGGGCCGAAGGGGCAAAAGUGACAAACUCUCAGGCAAAAGAACCGAAUC
Molecule: non-coding RNA, 76 nt
Filed under: bovine gut metagenome
Description: Glycine riboswitch
Rfam family: Glycine riboswitch aptamer
About the family: This family represents the bacterial glycine riboswitch. Glycine riboswitches usually consist of two metabolite-binding aptamers domains with similar structures in tandem. The aptamers cooperatively bind glycine to regulate the expression of downstream genes.
Source: RNAcentral